Molecule: ribosomal RNA, 253 nt
Filed under: uncultured bacterium
Lineage: Bacteria
Description: partial 16S ribosomal RNA
Rfam family: Bacterial small subunit ribosomal RNA
Source: RNAcentral
UACGAAGGGGGCUAGCGUUGCUCGGAAUCACUGGGCGUAAAGCGCACGUAGGCGGAUUGCUAAGUCAGGGGUGAAAUCCUGGAGCUCAACUCCAGAACUGCCUUUGAUACUGGCGACCUUGAGUCCGGGAGAGGUGAGUGGAACUGCGAGUGUAGAGGUGAAAUUCGUAGAUAUUCGCAAGAACACCAGUGGCGAAGGCAGCACUCUGGGACGUGACUGACGCUGAGACGCGAAAGCGUGGGGAGCAAACAGG